UACGUAGGGGGCAAGCGUUAUCCGGAUUCACUGGGUGUAAAGGGAGCGUAGACGGCCAUGCAAGCCUGGAGUGAAAGCCCGGGGCCCAACCCCGGGACUGCUCUGGGAACUGUGCGGCUGGAGUGCGGGAGGGGCAGGCGGAAUUCCUGGUGUAGCGGUGAAAUGCGUAGAUAUCAGGAGGAACACCGGCGGCGAAGGCGGCCUGCUGGACCGCGACUGACGCUGAGGCUCGAAAGCGUGGGGAGCAAACAGG
This 253-nucleotide ribosomal RNA is filed under the name uncultured bacterium. Its description in RNAcentral is "partial 16S ribosomal RNA". It matches the Rfam family "Bacterial small subunit ribosomal RNA", at positions 524 to 776 of the family's 1533-position model. The record is from RNAcentral.